Molecule: ribosomal RNA, 484 nt
Filed under: uncultured bacterium
Lineage: Bacteria
Description: partial 16S ribosomal RNA
Rfam family: Bacterial small subunit ribosomal RNA
Source: RNAcentral
AUUGAACGCUGGCGGCAUGCUUUACACAUGCAAGUCGAACGGCAGCGCGGGCUUCGGCCUGGCGGCGAGUGGCGAACGGGUGAGUAAUGCAUCGGAACGUGCCCAGUAGUUGGGGAUAGCCCGGCGAAAGCCGGAUUAAUACCGCAUACGACCUGAUGGUGAAACCGGGGGACCGAAAGGCCUCGCGCUAUUGGAGCGGCCGAUGUCGGAUUAGCUAGUUGGUGGGGUAAAGGCUUACCAAGGCGACGAUCCGUAGCUGGUCUGAGAGGACGACCAGCCACACUGGAACUGAGACACGGCCCAGACUCCUACGGGAGGCAGCAGUGGGGAAUUUUGGACAAUGGGGGCAACCCUGAUCCAGCCAUGCCGCGUGCGGGAAGAAGGCCUUCGGGUUGUAAACCGCUUUUGUUCGGGAAGAAAACCUCUGGGCUAAUACACCGGGGGGAUGACGGUACCGGAAGAAUAAGCACCGGCUAACUACGUG